CAGCAGCACACUUCUCUUCUGGGUGGCUGUCCAUUCGACAGUUUUGUUCAGUAAAAAGGUCAAUUCACUUAAAUCCAGGCAUAUACGAAUGGGUGAGUUCGUGAAACAAGCAAACAGACGAACACAGCAAUCUUAGUUCAUACAGAUGGGUCUGUCACAGACCGAUAUUGCAAAGGAUGAGAAGAAGCUGUUGAUGAUCAACAGUGUCAAAAGCAGCAGAAGGGUCAAGAAGAAUUAGGAUAGAAUAGUGACCAUGAGAUUUUGCAGCGAGUAGAUCAUUGGAUACUUUGGUCAGUGCCGAUGCCAGCUUAGCAUGGAAACCAGACUCAAGUGGUUAUAGCAGAGAGUUGGACUCGAGGGAGUCUGUCAAUCUCGCAUACAAAACUUUUUCAAGGAUCUUGGAUGCAAAAGGCAGUAGCGAGAUAGGACGGUAGUUGGAUGGAGAGUUAGGGUCAAGGUUGGGCUUCUUUAGAAUUGGGCUUACAGUUGCAUGUUUGAAGGGCAAUGGAUAUAUGCCAGAGGAGAGAGAGAGAGAUUGAGAUUGAGCAUUUUAGUGAGAGGUAGAGAAAGAGAAAAAGAUAGAGUACGGAUGAGAUGCAAGGGA
Molecule: non-coding RNA, 604 nt
Organism: Pelobates cultripes (western spadefoot toad)
Lineage: Eukaryota; Metazoa; Chordata; Amphibia; Anura; Pelobatidae
Source: the annotation of a GenBank genome assembly